This 999-nucleotide long non-coding RNA is filed under the name Homo sapiens (human). RNAcentral's name for it is "non-protein coding LINC00504:10". The record is from RNAcentral. Lineage: Eukaryota; Metazoa; Chordata; Mammalia; Primates; Hominidae.
CUCAUUUGUCUCUUGCCUCUGCCAUGUUAGAAGUGCCUUUCGCCUCCCACCAUGACUCUGAGGCCUACACAGCCACGUCGAACUGCAAGUCCACUUAAACCUCUUUUCGUUCCCAGUUUCAGUGUGGUGGAAAAGGAAGAGAGAGCUGAGGCAGACGAUGUAAGAUCUGCUGUUACUUCUUGCUGUGUGACCUUGGAGUAAAGACAGCUUUGGAGAAAGACAGACCUGGAUUCAAAUGCAGAUCUCUUCCUUACUAGAUGGGCAUGCUUGGGUGAAGUGAAGUGGGUGUGCCUGGGAUCACACACAGCUGGAAAAUCAGGCCAUGUUUGUGUCCACAAACAAGAGUGAAGAUAAUCUCUCCUAUCUGAGAAAUCCAGGAGUGGAGGAAUCCAAUGGGAACUCUGGCCAAGCUAAAAGAAGGUCUCAAGAGCCACAGAUGUCUUGGAUAUUUCUGUAUUUCAGACUCUACUACCCAGACACCAAAAGAAGAAAUGAUUAACCCUGGAGGCUGCCUUGGUCUAGGUGAAAAAAUAUAUGUACGAUGACAGUGCAAUCAUACUAGAACUCAGGAUUAAGAAACUCACUCAAAACUGCUCAACUACAUGGAAACUGAACAACCUGCUCCUGAAUGACUACUGGGUACAUAACGAAAUGAAGGCAGAAGUAAAGAUGUUCUUUGAAACCAACGAGAACAAAGACACAACAUACCAGAAUCUCUGGGACACAUUCAAAGCAGUGUGUAGAGGGAAAUUUAUAGCACUAAAUGCCCACAAGAGAAAGCAGGAAAGAUCUAAAAUUGACACCCUAACAUCACAAUUAAAAGAACUAGAGAAGCAAGAGGAAACACAUUCAAAAGCUAGCAGAAGGCAAGAAAUAACUAAAAUCAGAGCAGAACUGAAGGAAAUAGAGACACACAAGAACCCUUCAAAAAAUCAAUGAAUCCAGGGGCUGGUUUUUUGAAAAGAUCAAUAAAAUUGAUAGACCGCUAGCAAGAUUAAU